Molecule: ribosomal RNA, 253 nt
Filed under: uncultured bacterium
Lineage: Bacteria
Description: partial 16S ribosomal RNA
Rfam family: Bacterial small subunit ribosomal RNA
Source: RNAcentral
UACAGAGGUCUCAAGCGUUGUUCGGAUUCAUUGGGCGUAAAGGGUGCGUAGGUGGCGGGGUUAGUCAGGUGUGAAAUCUCGGGGCUCAACCCCGAAACUGCACUUGAUACUGCCUUGCUAGAGUACUGGAGAGGAGAUUGGAAUUUACGGUGUAGCAGUGAAAUGCGUAGAUAUCGUAAGGAAGACCAGUGGCGAAGGCGAAUCUCUGGACAGUUACUGACACUGAGGCACGAAGGUCAGGGGAGCAAACGGG